This 398-nucleotide ribosomal RNA is filed under the name uncultured bacterium. RNAcentral's name for it is "partial 16S ribosomal RNA". It matches the Rfam family "Bacterial small subunit ribosomal RNA", at positions 523 to 918 of the family's 1533-position model. The record is from RNAcentral.
AUACGUAGGGUGCGAGCGUUGUCCGGAAUUACUGGGCGUAAAGAGCUCGUAGGUGGUUUGUCGCGUCGUCUGUGAAAUUCCGGGGCUUAACUCCGGGCGUGCAGGCGAUACGGGCAUAACUUGAGUACUGUAGGGGAGACUGGAAUUCCUGGUGUAGCGGUGAAAUGCGCAGAUAUCAGGAGGAACACCGGUGGCGAAGGCGGGUCUCUGGGCAGAAACUGACGCUGAGGAGCGAAAGCAUGGGUAGCGAACAGGAUUAGAUACCCUGGUAGUCCAUGCCGUAAACGGUGGGCGCUAGGUGUAGGGGUCUUCCACGACUUCUGUGCCGUAGCUAACGCAUUAAGCGCCCCGCCUGGGGAGUACGGCCGCAAGGCUAAAACUCAAAUGAAUUGACGGGG